CGCCUCUUGCAAAAUAAAUGAAUAAGAGGUCCCGCCUGCCCUGUGACUAUAUGUUCAACGGCCGCGGUAUUUUGACCGUGCGAAGGUAGCGCAAUCACUUGUCUUUUAAAUGAAGACCUGUAUGAAUGGCAUCACGAGGGCUUAGCUGUCUCCCCCUCCCAGUCAAUGAAAUUGAUUUUCCCGUGCAGAAGCGGGAAUAAGAACAUAAGACGAGAAGACCCUAUGGAGCUUAAGACGCCAGGACAGCUCAUGUUAAACACCCCAGAACAAAGGGAAUAAACUUAGUGAAACCCUGCCCUAGUGUCUUUGGUUGGGGCGACCACGGGGAAAAACUUAACCCCCAUGCGGAAUAGGAAUACUAUUUUCCUAGACUCAAGAGCUCCCGCUCUAAUAGACAGAAUUUCUGACCAAAAGGAUCCGGCAAUGCCGAUCAACGGACCGAGUUACCCUAGGGAUAACAGCGCAAUCCUCUUUAAGAGUCCCUAUCGACAAGAGGGUUUACGACCUCGAUGUUGGAUCAGGACAUCCUAAUGGUGCAGCCGCUAUUAAGGGUUCGUUUGUUCAACGAUUAAAGUCCU
Molecule: ribosomal RNA, 578 nt
Filed under: Acanthopagrus latus (yellowfin seabream)
Lineage: Eukaryota; Metazoa; Chordata; Actinopteri; Spariformes; Sparidae
Description: partial large subunit ribosomal RNA
Rfam family: Bacterial large subunit ribosomal RNA
Source: RNAcentral